CCUACGGGAGGCAGCAGUGAGGAAUAUUGGUCAAUGGGCGAGAGCCUGAACCAGCCAAGUCGCGUGAGGGAGUACUGCCCUAUGGGUUGUAAACCUCUUUUGUCGGGGAGCAAAAGCCGGACGUGUCCGGCUGUGAGAGUACCCGAAUAAAAAGCAUCGGCUAACUCCGUGCCAGCAGCCGCGGUAAUACGGAGGAUGCGAGCGUUAUCCGGAUUUAUUGGGUUUAAAGGGUGCGCAGGCGGAUUUUUAAGUCAGCGGUAAAAUCGUGGGGCUCAACCCCAUCCAGCCGUUGAAACUGGGGAUCUAGAGUGUGCGAGAGGUAUGCGGAAUGCGUGGUGUAGCGGUGAAAUGCAUAGAUAUCACGCAGAACCCCGAUUGCGAAGGCAGCAUACCGGUGCACAACUGACGCUCAGGCACGAAAGCGUGGGUAUCGAACAGGAUUAGAUACCCCUGUAGUC
Molecule: ribosomal RNA, 458 nt
Filed under: uncultured bacterium
Lineage: Bacteria
Description: partial 16S ribosomal RNA
Rfam family: Bacterial small subunit ribosomal RNA
Source: RNAcentral